GAUGAACGCUGGCGGCGUGCUUAACACAUGCAAGUCGAACGGUGAAGGCGGAGCUUGCUCUGCUGGAUCAGUGGCGAACGGGUGAGUAACACGUGAGCAAUCUGCCCCUGACUCUGGGAUAAGCGCUGGAAACGGCGUCUAAUACUGGAUACGAGCUGCGAAGGCAUCUUCAGCAGCUGGAAAGAAUUUCGGUCAGGGAUGAGCUCGCGGCCUAUCAGCUUGUUGGUGAGGUAAUGGCUCACCAAGGCGUCGACGGGUAGCCGGCCUGAGAGGGUGACCGGCCACACUGGGACUGAGACACGGCCCAGACUCCUACGGGAGGCAGCAGUGGGGAAUAUUGCACAAUGGGCGAAAGCCUGAUGCAGCAACGCCGCGUGAGGGAUGACGGCCUUCGGGUUGUAAACCUCUUUUAGCAGGGAAGAAGCGAAAGUGACGGUACCUGCAGAAAAAGCGCCGGCUAACUACGUG
This 468-nucleotide ribosomal RNA is filed under the name uncultured bacterium. RNAcentral describes it as "partial 16S ribosomal RNA". It matches the Rfam family "Bacterial small subunit ribosomal RNA", at positions 28 to 507 of the family's 1533-position model. The record is from RNAcentral.